RNAcentral lists this ribosomal RNA (1343 nucleotides) under uncultured bacterium. Its description in RNAcentral is "16S ribosomal RNA". It matches the Rfam family "Bacterial small subunit ribosomal RNA", at positions 28 to 1378 of the family's 1533-position model. The record is from RNAcentral.
GACGAACGCUGGCGGCGUGCUUAACACAUGCAAGUCGAACGGAAAGGCCCUGCUUUUGUGGGGUGCUCGAGUGGCGAACGGGUGAGUAACACGUGAGUAACCUGCCCUUGACUUUGGGAUAACUUCAGGAAACUGGGGCUAAUACCGGAUAGGAGCUCCUGCUGCAUGGUGGGGGUUGGAAAGUUUCGGCGGUUGGGGAUGGACUCGCGGCUUAUCAGCUUGUUGGUGGGGUAGUGGCUUACCAAGGCUUUGACGGGUAGCCGGCCUGAGAGGGUGACCGGCCACAUUGGGACUGAGAUACGGCCCAGACUCCUACGGGAGGCAGCAGUGGGGAAUAUUGCACAAUGGGCGGAUGCCUGAUGCAGCAACGCCGCGUGCGGGAUGACGGCCUUCGGGUUGUAAACCGCUUUCGCCUGUGACGAAGCGUGAGUGACGGUAAUGGGUAAAGAAGCACCGGCUAACUACGUGCCAGCAGCCGCGGUGAUACGUAGGGUGCGAGCGUUGUCCGGAUUUAUUGGGCGUAAAGGGCUCGUAGGUGGUUGAUCGCGUCGGAAGUGUAAUCUUGGGGCUUAACCCUGAGCGUGCUUUCGAUACGGGUUGACUUGAGGAAGGUAGGGGAGAAUGGAAUUCCUGGUGGAGCGGUGGAAUGCGCAGAUAUCAGGAGGAACACCAGUGGCGAAGGCGGUCCUCUGGGCCUUUCCUGACGCUGAGGAGCGAAAGCGUGGGGAGCGAACAGGCUUAGAUACCCUGGUAGUCCACGCUGUAAACGGUGGGUACUAGGUGUGGGGUCCAUUCCACGGGUUCCGUGCCGUAGCUAACGCUUUAAGUACCCCGCCUGGGGAGUACGGCCGCAAGGCUAAAACUCAAAGGAAUUGACGGGGCCCCGCACAAGCGGCGGAGCAUGCGGAUUAAUUCGAUGCAACGCGUAGAACCUUACCUGGGUUUGACAUGGAUCGGGAGUGCUCAGAGAUGGGUGUGCCUCUUUUGGGGUCGGUUCACAGGUGGUGCAUGGCUGUCGUCAGCUCGUGUCGUGAGAUGUUGGGUUAAGUCCCGCAACGAGCGCAACCCUUGUUCACUGUUGCCAGCACGUUAUGGUGGGGACUCAGUGGAGACCGCCGGGGUCAACUCGGAGGAAGGUGGGGAUGACGUCAAGUCAUCAUGCCCCUUAUGUCCAGGGCUUCACGCAUGCUACAAUGGCUGGUACAGAGAGUGGCGAGCCUGUGAGGGUGAGCGAAUCUCGGAAAGCCGGUCUCAGUUCGGAUUGGGGUCUGCAACUCGACCUCAUGAAGUCGGAGUCGCUAGUAAUCGCAGAUCAGCAACGCUGCGGUGAAUACGUUCCCGGG